GAAUAAAAUGUUGGGAAACGUGAAGAGAGAUGUUUCAGCAAGUAGAUCUCUUUUGGGCAAAUUGAAAGCAGUGGCAUCACCCUGAGGCAAUCAGCAUCCCAAUUCAUCAGGAUGCUGGGAUGAAAGCUUUGUAGAUCCUGAAUUUGCCCAACAACCUGCUGAAUGCUUUUCCGAAUUGUCCCUAUCAAUCGGGCACAGAUCAUCUAUUUAAACAUACGAAAUGGCUUGACACUAAUAGCAUUUCUUCCAUUUUGGAAAAAAAAAUAAGGACUGAUAUCCAUAGAAGUAAAAAAACAAAAACUUCAGGAAAACAUCAUUAUAUAAGGGGGUGGUAUGUACCUUGAUAACAUAAAACGAUUUUACGUAAGAGAAUCUAUCAACUGAACUCAUUUGUUUGGGUAUAAUAAAGAUAUAUAUCCUUAUAAUUG
RNAcentral lists this long non-coding RNA (428 nucleotides) under Pan paniscus (pygmy chimpanzee). Its description in RNAcentral is "lncRNA (ENSPPAG00000044370.1)". The record is from RNAcentral. Lineage: Eukaryota; Metazoa; Chordata; Mammalia; Primates; Hominidae.